CGCUCUUCCGAUCUCUUCGAGCUCAAUUAGUAACUUGUAGAGAAAAUAGUGCUUCGUCAAAUGUGACAAAUAACUCACUCCUAUUCCUCAACAGAAAAUUUAAAUAAAAUUGUUUGUAAGCACGAGCCAGAUUUUUUCUGGAACUAUUUGAAAUGACUAUCUCAGCUUCUGGGGGCUGUGGGGC
Molecule: long non-coding RNA, 184 nt
Organism: Folsomia candida
Lineage: Eukaryota; Metazoa; Arthropoda; Collembola; Entomobryomorpha; Isotomidae
Exons: 3
Source: RefSeq, a predicted model, not a curated record